Molecule: ribosomal RNA, 493 nt
Filed under: uncultured bacterium
Lineage: Bacteria
Description: partial 16S ribosomal RNA
Rfam family: Bacterial small subunit ribosomal RNA
Source: RNAcentral
GACGAACGCUGGCGGCGUGCCUAACACAUGCAAGUUGAGCGACGAACCAGGGCUUGCCCUGGGGCAAAGCAGCGAACGGGUGAGUAACACGUGGGUAACCUACCCCGAUAACCGGGACAACCCGAGGAAACUCGGGCUAAUACCGGAUGUGCUCACUGGACUUCGGUUCAGUGCGUAAAGGAAGCUUCGGCCUCCGUAUCGGGAGGGGCCCGCGGCCCAUUAGUUUGUUGGUGAGGUAACGGCUCACCAAGACCGCGAUGGGUAGCUGGUCUGAGAGGACGAGCAGCCACACUGGGACUGAGACACGGCCCAGACUCCUGCGGGAGGCAGCAGUGGGGAAUCUUGCGCAAUGCGCGAAAGCGUGACGCAGCAACGCCGCGUGGGGGAAGAAGGCCUUCGGGUUGUAAACCCCUUUCAGGAGGGACGAAGGUUCGGCGGUGAAUAGCCGUCCGGACUGACGGUACCUCCACAAGAAGCCCCGGCUAACUACGUG